AAGCCCUAAUUUAUAAAGCUAUAAUCCUUAGUGCAAUUCGAAUCUCUGCAACCAAUGCCAAAGCCCUAUAUAUAUUAGAUGAAAAUUACAGAGAGAUGACUGAAAUGAGCAAUCUGACCUUUUGACGAUUUCAAUUGAGAACACGGCUGUUAAGGUUUCAAGUUUAUGAUUGACUAGAUACAUGACUUAAAAAGCUAAUAGAUGAUUUCCUUACAAACAGUAUGUUUGGAUUAAAAGUUAACUUUGGGCUCAAGAAAGGAGUUGGCCCAAAAGGAGGCCCGAAAGGGAAGAUAGCCGAAGCCCAGUCGAAGCCCAGAAGGCAGGAGAAAGCCUUUUCUGGCUUGAUGCAGCUCAUGAAGACCACUUGCUUACCUACCCAAAGGCCAAGUGGUGUAGGCUGGUCAGCUACACAGCCCAUAAAGUACUUUAUGGUGGCAUUACAUGUAAAAUAGCUGAUGAGUCA
RNAcentral lists this long non-coding RNA (463 nucleotides) under Malus domestica (apple). RNAcentral's name for it is "long non-coding RNA (MDOM_LNC016605)". The record is from RNAcentral. Lineage: Eukaryota; Viridiplantae; Streptophyta; Magnoliopsida; Rosales; Rosaceae.